AUACGUAGGGAGCGAGCGUUGUCCGGAAUUACUGGGUGUAAAGGGAGCGUAGGCGGGAGUGCAAGGCAGAUGUGAAAUACAUGGGCUCAACCCAUGGGCUGCAUUUGAAACUGCAUUUCUUGAGUGCAGAAGAGGUAAGCGGAAUUCCCAGUGUAGCGGUGAGAUGCGUAGAGAUUGGGAAGAACACCAGUGGCGAAGGCGGCUUACUGGGCUGUAACUGACGCUGAGGCGCGAAAGCGUGGGGAGCGAACAGGAUUAGAUACCCUGGUAGUCCACGCUGUAAACGAUGAAUGCUAGGUGUAGGGGGUAUCGACCCCUUCUGUGCCGCAGUCAACACAAUAAGCAUUCCGCCUGGGGAGUACGGCCGCAAGGUUGAAACUCAAAUGAAUUGGCGGGG
RNAcentral lists this ribosomal RNA (397 nucleotides) under uncultured bacterium. Its description in RNAcentral is "partial 16S ribosomal RNA". It matches the Rfam family "Bacterial small subunit ribosomal RNA", at positions 523 to 918 of the family's 1533-position model. The record is from RNAcentral.